UACGUAGGUGGCAAGCGUUGUCCGGAUUUACUGGGCGUAAAGAGCGCGCAGGCGGUCGUUCAAGUCGCGUGUGAAAGCCCCCGGCUCAACUGGGGAGGGUCACGCGAUACUGAUCGACUCGAAGGCAGGAGAGGGUAGUGGAAUUCCCGGUGUAGUGGUGAAAUGCGUAGAUAUCGGGAGGAACACCAGUGGCGAAGGCGAUUACCUGGCCUGUUCUUGACGCUGAGGCGCGAAAGCUAGGGGAGCAAACGGG
Molecule: ribosomal RNA, 253 nt
Filed under: uncultured bacterium
Lineage: Bacteria
Description: partial 16S ribosomal RNA
Rfam family: Bacterial small subunit ribosomal RNA
Source: RNAcentral